CAUACAAACCGAGAUGUUACUCUUUCCUGGAAUUUGCUUAACAUUUUCAUUUUUACCUUUCUGUUUACAUUUUCUUCGCUGUUUACAAUGGCUAGACAUGGAACUGAAGAGAGAGGCAGCUGCACAGUCCUAAAAUUGUGGUAAGUCUAAAUUCUUCUAACAACAUAAGUUUUGUAACAAAGCAUUUUUACUUGUAUUUUGUAGGAGGCAGUCCGUCAGCUACACAAUUAGGUGCUGUGACCCGGAGCAAGGAUUAAGCUCAUCAUAUAAUGAGACGGUCACCUCAUUUUAGUGGGAGCACUGUCCAUAAGCCCGGAAUUGUGCGAUGAAGGCCUUGAUAAAAAUGACUUUGUUGUUGCCUGCAAGACGUACUAUAAGACCGUGUGCAGAAAUUUCCGGUACAGCCAGCCAGAGCUAGCAAGUGUGGCUGCAGCUAAUAAGACCUCAGCCCGGAGUCACCAGAGGAGGAAGAGGGUAAGACAGAUUAGAAUUAAAUUCAUUUUACUUAUUUCUGUUGCAUUAGUAUAAACUGUAAUGAUGUACAUGUUGCUUAUUAUAUGCAACAAUUGGGUUUUCAACUCCUGGAGGCGAGGCUAAGUGUACUGGCUGCAGACAAAGUGGACUUCUGGAGGGAAAUCACCGCUGACAUGAUGUCAGACGAAGAAGAUGGUACCGUUGAUGGAGUCUUGGGACGGAUUGUGAGACCUCCAUCGUUCCACAGCCAGGAGCUCAGCAAUCUGUGUGCUAAGCUGCAGGCGAGACUAGAAGCCAGUUCAAAGUAUGCAGCACUGCAUCACCGGCGUCUGCGAACUGGGCUGCCGUCUAACAGAACGCCAUCGCAUACCUACGACCCCGAGGCAGCAAAAAUACAUUUGAUGCGAUGCCAUUAAAAUAAUCUCUGGCUACUUUUUGUGUAUUUAUUUUUCCUAUGCCUUAUUAAUAAAACUCUUUAUCAA
This is a long non-coding RNA of Hemibagrus wyckioides, 956 nucleotides long. RefSeq lists it as uncharacterized. Lineage: Eukaryota; Metazoa; Chordata; Actinopteri; Siluriformes; Bagridae. The transcript is spliced from 3 exons. The record is from RefSeq and is a predicted model, not a curated record.